Manihot esculenta (cassava) is the source of this 558-nucleotide long non-coding RNA. RefSeq lists it as uncharacterized. The record is from RefSeq and is a predicted model, not a curated record. The transcript has 2 exons. NCBI's taxonomy places the organism in Eukaryota, Viridiplantae, Streptophyta, Magnoliopsida, Malpighiales, Euphorbiaceae.
AAGAAACAGAUUCAAUAUUGCUAUUUAUUUCAUAAUUAGGUGUACAAAGAAGUGGCCGUAUAAGAAUGCUUCCAAAAAUCAUACAAUGUGUACGCAGAUAAUACUGUUUUUGAAAAGACAAUCGAUGAUUUGAUAACGCUUACCCAUUUCUGUGAUCAUUUUGCGGAAAGAAGCCAUUCUGCAAACACCUGGUUCAAACCUCAAAUAGCCACCUAUAUACUGAGGGAGAGAGUAGAGUAGAGUAGAGUAGAGUAGAGAGUGAGUUCCAGACUUUCUAGAGACAGAAUUCUAGGAAGAGUGCUCGAUGUCUUUUUUUUCUCAUGGUUCGGAGUGUGGGUUUCCUCUAAGCGGUAGUUGGCAGCUCAAUAUUGGUACAUGGGGAUCAAGAUUUGAAAGGCACUAUUAGGUUACCAAAGAGCACGCCUUAUUUUACCUUCAUUGAUUUUGCUCCUCACUCUCUCAUGGCUCUAGACUUGGUGUUUGGUAGAAAAUCUUCAAUUUUCUUUGUACUAAUGGAUACUGACAUAUUUAGUGAUAUAUGGGAUUGUGAUUUCCUUC